RNAcentral lists this unclassified non-coding RNA (73 nucleotides) under Chryseobacterium arachidis. Its description in RNAcentral is "Flavo-1 RNA". The record is from RNAcentral. Lineage: Bacteria; Pseudomonadati; Bacteroidota; Flavobacteriia; Flavobacteriales; Weeksellaceae.
UUACGGUCUGGAUAGUUUGUUGUUAAUCAUCGGAAACUCAUUUCCGAUAUUAGAAAAGAUAGCCAGAAUACAG